CCUACGGGAGGCAGCAGUGAGGAAUAUUGGUCACUGGGCGAGAGCCUGAACCAGCCCAGUCGCGUGAGGGAAGACGGUCCUAUGGAUUGUAAACCUCUUUUGCCGGGGAGCAAAAAGCGGUACGUGUACCGCAUCGAGAGUACCCGGAGAAAAAGCAUCGGCUAACUCCGUGCCAGCAGCCGCGGUAAUACGGGGGAAGCGAGCGUUAUACGGAUUUAUGGGGGUAAAAGGGUGCGCGGGGGGGGAGUUAAGUCAGCGGGAAAAUUUCGGGGCGCAACCCCGGCAAGCCGUUGAAACUGGGUUGCUAGAGUGGGCGAGAGGUAUGCGGAAUGCGUGGUGUAGCGGUGAAAUGCGUAGAUAUCACGCAGAACUCCAGUGGCGAAGGCAGCAUACCGGCGCCCAACUGACGCUCAGGCACGAAAGCGUGGGGAUCGAACAGGAUUAGAUACCCGAGUAGUC
RNAcentral lists this ribosomal RNA (459 nucleotides) under uncultured bacterium. Its description in RNAcentral is "partial 16S ribosomal RNA". It matches the Rfam family "Bacterial small subunit ribosomal RNA", at positions 338 to 795 of the family's 1533-position model. The record is from RNAcentral.